GCCCGGAAUCAAAAAGAAAGGAACUCCCUCGCGUCCCUACCCGGGAGGAGCUCCCAUCCGAAUGGGGAGACAACAUAGAGAGGGACACACGUAAGCGACGGCCCAGCUCUGCCGCUCUUUGUUCGAAGUCUCCUUCCAGCCCCGACAUUGUCCAGAUCUCAGUGUUUUCCUCCGUCCUUCUUGUUGCUGAUUUUAGUUCCAAAACUCGGGCGCUGGGGGUGGGGGAGGGAAGCCAGCCGGGGCUCUAACCUUUGGGGGCUUUGCUCGGUCCUUUUAUCAUAGGUAACCAUUCAUCUCACUUCCCCGUUCCCGGUUUGUGUCAUUUGCAUUUUAAUUGGUGGGUCCCAGAGCAAAUUACCCAGAGAGAGCUUUUGAUCCUACCGCCCCUUGAACCCCGCUGGUGCCGCUGAGAUAAAUCUCCCUGGCCCCGACUGAGGCCAGUGAGCGCAGCUGCUGACAGGUGCCGGAUGCUCUCAGGGGAAAACGUUUCAUCAAUUAUCAUAAUUGACACCGAUAGCAGACAGCCGACUUAACAAAUAGCCAAAUGUGUUGCCAGGAGGAGGGGGAAAGAGCCCAAAUGGGUCACACUUGUGGAGAUGUCUCCUUGGGGGUCUCGGGAAGCUUAGCUCUGCUGUCAUUGACCAAUCAGAAGGGAGACUGACACGUGAAAUGCCACGAGGGCCAGCCAGAAGAGCUGCGUGGGCUUAGGGGUCUAGUUUUAGCUUUGGUGACCCAUGCUAGGCUGUACCACCUCUGGUAAGUCCCUCAUCGGGCUCAGACAGCUGGACUUGGAGACAGCAGGGUUCUGGGUUCCAAACGGCCCUGCUUCUGCCAUGUACAAGUUGUCCCAUCACAAGCCUACUAGAAGUUCAGACACUACUCAUGGGCCCAAAUUCCUCUGCUGA
This 905-nucleotide long non-coding RNA is filed under the name Monodelphis domestica (gray short-tailed opossum). Its description in RNAcentral is "lncRNA (ENSMODG00000049665.1)". Lineage: Eukaryota; Metazoa; Chordata; Mammalia; Didelphimorphia; Didelphidae. The record is from RNAcentral.